AUAGCGCACCGCCGGGGAGGGUGAGACCCCUCGACAGGGUUCGACAAAACGCCUGCGUUUGGGCCCGCCAACGGCGCCCCGCAGGGUGAGCGCAGCGAAUCAAUCCCUCCCUCACCGCCA
RNAcentral lists this small RNA (120 nucleotides) under Serratia marcescens. Its description in RNAcentral is "RtT sRNA". It matches the Rfam family "RtT RNA". From Rfam's summary of the family: This family represents a bacterial cis-regulatory element known as RtT RNA. The exact function of RtT is unknown although it is thought that it may be involved in changing the cellular response in relation to amino acid starvation. The record is from RNAcentral. Lineage: Bacteria; Pseudomonadati; Pseudomonadota; Gammaproteobacteria; Enterobacterales; Yersiniaceae.